RNAcentral lists this ribosomal RNA (500 nucleotides) under uncultured bacterium. Its description in RNAcentral is "partial 16S ribosomal RNA". It matches the Rfam family "Bacterial small subunit ribosomal RNA", at positions 30 to 523 of the family's 1533-position model. The record is from RNAcentral.
AUUGAACGCUGGCGGAAUGCUUUACACAUGCAAGUCGAACGGCAGCACGGACUUCGGUCUGGUGGCGAGUGGCGAACGGGUGAGUAAUGUAUCGGAACGUGCCCAGUCGUGGGGGAUAACGUAGUGAAAAUUACGCUAAUACCGCAUACGAUCUAUGGAUGAAAGCGGGGGAUCGCAAGACCUCGCGCGAUUGGAGCGGCCGAUAUCAGAUUAGGUAGUUGGUGGGGUAAAGGCCCACCAAGCCAACGAGCUGUGGCUGGUCUGAGAGGACGACCAGCCAAACUGGAACUGAGACACGGUCCAGACUCCUACGGGAGGCAGCAGUGGGGAAUUUUGGACAAUGGGCGAAAGCCUGAUCCAGCCAUUCCGCGUGCAGGAUGAAGGCCCUCGGGUUGUAAACUGCUUUUGUACAGAACGAAAAGGUUUCUACUAAUACUAGGAGCUCAUGACGGUACUGUAAGAAUAAGCACCGGCUAACUACGUGCCAGCAGCCGCAGUAA